UACAGAGGUCUCAAGCGUUGUUCGGAUUCAUUGGGCGUAAAGGGUGCGUAGGCGGCGCGGUAAGUCGGGUGUGAAAUCUCGGAGCUUAACUCCGAAACUGCAUUCGAUACUGCCGUGCUUGAGGACUGGAGAGGAGACUGGAAUUUACGGUGUAGAGGUGAAAUUCGUAGAGAUCGGGAGGAACACCAGUGGCGAAGGCGCCUAUCUGGCUGACAACUGACGCUGAGACUCGAAAGCAUGGGGAGCAAACAGG
This 253-nucleotide ribosomal RNA is filed under the name uncultured bacterium. RNAcentral's name for it is "partial 16S ribosomal RNA". It matches the Rfam family "Bacterial small subunit ribosomal RNA", at positions 524 to 776 of the family's 1533-position model. The record is from RNAcentral.